CAGCACUUUCAAAGUAAAUAUUUUGCUUAAGAAUCUUAUUAAAGAAAGUCUGUGCCUGCUUAAUGAUGCUUUCUCUGACGAGAAGAACGAGCCCUUCCCUGUAUCAUGGCAGUGCAGCAUCACUUUCGAGACCCUGGUGCUUGUUUCAAGGAGGAUAUAGCCACAGUAAAGACUGUCCCCCAGCUGCCCAGCCUGCCUGUGGUGCCUGCCCUGGGACAACAGUGGCCGAAAGGAAUAGUGGAGCAAGAGUUACUAGGACCUAGCAAGAUGUGGUAACUUCUUCAGCAAUAAUUGUGAAUGAUUUCUCACGAUGGUACAAGCCUGGGCUGUGAGUCUGUUUGAAGUGGAACAUGCUCAUGCUGAUUGCAGGGCUAGCAAUGCCUCUGCCCCUCUGGCGUAGAUUUGGAUAUUGGGCAAAGCCCACAACAGGAGGGCUCAGACAUCAGGCGGUAUCCAGUGAUCUUCUUGGAAGAGAAGACAUGAAGGAGCCAACUGCUAGAGUUGGACCACAGUAAAGCAGGACCAGCUGGGCUGUGGAGCUUGCAGGGCGACCUCCAUAUCUGCAGUUCCACCAGAGUUUGCUACAGGGAACAGGGUCUUGACCUUGGGCACUUGCCCAGCUAGGAGAGAUUUCAGGAGUUUGUGUCUCUUCUACCCUUGAAUUGCCAGGGGCCUCAGUACAGGGGAAAAGGUUUCACUGAAAGGUCCAACCAUAUUUGGAUGCCUGUGGACCUUCCGUCAAGGACGGUGUGACAUAUGGUGACCACAAAAUGACAAAACCUCUUUCUAAAAACUAUAGCGUUGUUACCUUUUCCAACAAGCAUUUAGAAAAGGUACAACUCUCCUCCAUCCUCCAAGUUAUCCAAAGAUCUGCCCUUUUGGCAAAUAAGGCAGCUCUAGUUUCUGCAGACACUACAGUAGUGAAUGCCAGAGUCUCGGUCUGGUGCCCCUGAACAGCUUCCCCAAGAUCUCCCUGGCUCUGAAAAGAAAGUCCUGCUGCUGCCAGCCAGAGCUCCUUUGUUCUACUCUGUUGUCAGACUUUUGGCUCUGUGUCCCCCAACCAGUUCAUUAGGCCCUGCAGGAAGCUGAACUGGGCUCCACCAAGCCCAUGACUUUCCCAUUGUCCUGUGUAAACUGCAGGGCUGGCUGAGUUUAAACCAUUUUUCUUCCCUUCUGAUUGUUUUCCUUACAGUUUGUUGUUAAACUUACCAAGUAUUUGUGCAAUAAACAAUUAUUAGGCCAAUAUACA
Molecule: long non-coding RNA, 1249 nt
Filed under: Struthio camelus australis
Lineage: Eukaryota; Metazoa; Chordata; Aves; Struthioniformes; Struthionidae
Description: lncRNA (ENSSCUG00000012579.1)
Source: RNAcentral